This 2553-nucleotide long non-coding RNA is filed under the name Canis lupus familiaris (dog). RNAcentral describes it as "lncRNA (ENSCAFG00845020648.1)". The stretch from base 2046 to 2119 matches the Rfam family "tRNA". The record is from RNAcentral. Lineage: Eukaryota; Metazoa; Chordata; Mammalia; Carnivora; Canidae.
CCCGCGGGGGCGGCGGCGGCAGGUGCACCCCGCCCGGGAGCUUCCCGGGACUCGGAUGCGGAGCAGCAUCCCCCGGGGACCCGGCGCCCCGGGCGGCCGCGGUGUGGGGCUGACCCACGGGAAGAAAGCUCCCGGGGCGAUGCUCAGUGAUUCAAGGUUGCACCCCCCGCCCCCCAAACGCUCCCGAAUAUUUCGGAUCCCGCGUGUCUCCCUCCCUGCGAUGAAGCAGCAGGUCCCAGUUGUGGUCGGUGGCAUCUCCCCCACACCGACAAGGACCCCAUUAAGACAGAUCAAUUAGACCAGACGCUGGAAGAAGCAUCGGAAAACCGGCUUGGAGACGGCGCAGAGGUUCUUGAGAUCAUUACACAGUUGCCAGCAGAAGCCUUUCCCGGCAGGAAUGCUGUGAUCCCGGUUCAGCAGGCUUUGUGCUCGGGUGUUGGAGAGCCACGAGCCACCCAGAAGCAGAUUCCGAGGCUGGCAAGCACCACCAAGUGGCAGAAGAACAUCACUCACCAGCAGAGUGUCGUGCAAAUACAUACGUUAUUCAGCCUCAUUAUCAGCCCCGCAGAAACAGACAGGAGUUGUGUUUUGGGGGCAGUGAGGAUCAGAUUAGUGAUGGGAUGAGGGUUUCAACUCCCUCCACCCCCACCCCUGACAGAGUCCAACCAGUUUACUCAUUAGAACUGAAUUAAAAACUAGGUCUACAAAUUGCACUUUGCACCGUGCAUUAUGUGAAUACCAGCCAUACAGUCCAGUUGGCUCAUGCAUUUGCAAAAUUUCUCAUUUUAAAAGUGUACAGAAUAUUUGCUUUCAAUAUCUCUUAGCUUAGAACAGUUUUGUUUUUUUGUUUGUUUGUUUUUGUUUUGUUUUGUUUGAGACAUACACACUCUAGAAUCGUCUUGGAGGGGGUAGAGUCAAGUCGUAUUUUUUUUUUUAUGAUUUUAUUUAUUUAUUCAUGAGAGACACACACAGAGAGAGAGAGAGGCAGAGACACAGGUAGGGGGAGAAGCAGGCUCCAUGCAGGGAGCCAGACGUGGGACUUGAUCCCAGGUCACUGGGGUCACGCCCUGGGCUGAAGGCGGCGCUCAACCGCUGAGCCACUGGGCGGCCAGUAUUUUUAAGUAGAAAUAGCCCAGAGAUUUUUUCCCAUGGAACUUUUUAAAAAAGUUUUUCCCCCUCUGUGGAAAGGUCAUUGAUAAGAACCGUGAGGUUACUCAGAGCGUUAAUGGGGGUGCAGUUGAGAGAAGGGGGGGGAAGUGUUUCUAGAACAAAAAUAAUUUAAGAUAAAUAAAUGAACCUGAAAAAAUAAGACCCUGCCAAUCAGACCUCUAUCUCCUUUCUGAUCUCUACUACUUUCGGAUGUUUCAAUAACGGUAAGAUACAUAGUGCGCUUAAGUGUCGUGCAGGGGGGAACACCUUUUUCAUCCCCACGAAACCCCUAUGAGACAAAGAAUUCCUUAUCUCCAUUUUAUAGAAAAGACACAUAGCUUUCAAAGUAUCAGGGGACUUGGCCAGUGUAACAAACCUGGCCAGUGGCACAGCUAGGACUCAGCACAGUUUUGUCUGAGGUCAGAGCUCAAAACCUCUAUCACCAUUGUCUGCUGCACCACGAUUACCUUUCAGCCUCUGAAAAAGGGAACCAACCAGGAAUGUAUUAAUUCUGUCCAUGCAGUCUCUGUCUGCAGAGUACCAGUAAGACCCAAACAUUAAAUCUCAACCCUGAGCAAUCAGAUGUAGUGGUUUCCAUACUUGCAAAUCUUAUGAAUUAAUUCAUACGAAUUACUUAUAAAGCCUUUUAAAAGAUAGACAAAUUCCAGGUCUCACUAGCAGGGAUGUUAAUUCAGAAAGUUUGGAGUUGGACCAUGGAAACUAUAUUUUAAUACUCAUCCUUGUUUGAGAACAGAGGUCUACAUAUAGGUCUACACCUAUAUGACAAAUGAAAGGAUAUCUAGAUUCUUGCCCAGUUUUCACAGAACUUUUGGUAGAGAAGUUUCUAAGACAAGGGUUUAUUCUAAAAAAAAUAAUAAUAAUAAGAUGGGAAGGAUGCCUGGCUAGCUCAGUCCAGUAGAGCAUGAGACUCUUAAUCUCCAGGUCUUGAGUUUGAGCCCCAUGUUGGGCAUACAGAUUACUUACAAAAAUUUUUUUUAAAGAUAAAGUCUUAUACUCAGUGUGUAGAUGAGCUGUUAUACACAUCUGUCUCUAUAGCUCUAAUUAUUGAAUUUCCUUAUGCAUAUAUUUACCAAAUAUGUAAUAUGCAUCUAUUAUGUCUGACUUAGUAGUUUUGUGACCAUGGACAGUUGCCUCAUUUGUAAAAUAGAGGUAAUAAAACCUACCUCCAAGUGUUUUUCUGAAGAUUAAGGGAGAUAUAACAUGUGAUAUAAUGAUAAUGGGAUGAAUAUAUAUAUAUUCAUUAUAUAUAUAUUCAUUCAUUAUAUAUAUUUAUAUACAUAUGGGAUGAAUCCUUAUAUAAAUGAAUGAAUGAAUACCUAAAUACAUAUGUAUGUAGUCAGCUAUGUAUUUAUAUAAUAUAAUCAUAUAUAAAUAUAUAAUCAA